GAUGAACGCUGGCUACAGGCUUAACACAUGCAAGUCGAGGGGAAACGACGGGGAAGCUUGCUUCCCCGGGCGUCGACCGGCGCACGGGUGAGUAACGCGUAUCCAACCUGCCCCUGACUGAGGGAUAACCCGUCGAAAGUCGGCCUAAUACCUCAUGGUAUCGUCUGCGGGCAUCCAACGACGAUUAAAGAUUUCAUCGGUCAGGGAUGGGGAUGCGUCUGAUUAGCUUGUUGGCGGGGUAACGGCCCACCAAGGCUACGAUCAGUAGGGGUUCUGAGAGGAAGGUCCCCCACAUUGGAACUGAGACACGGUCCAAACUCCUACGGGAGGCAGCAGUGAGGAAUAUUGGUCAAUGGGCGAGAGCCUGAACCAGCCAAGUAGCGUGCAGGAAGACGGCCCUAUGGGUUGUAAACUGCUUUUAUGAGGGGAUAAAGUGAGGGACGUGUCCCUCAUUGCAGGUACCGCAUGAAUAAGGACCGGCUAAUUCCGUG
Molecule: ribosomal RNA, 491 nt
Filed under: uncultured bacterium
Lineage: Bacteria
Description: partial 16S ribosomal RNA
Rfam family: Bacterial small subunit ribosomal RNA
Source: RNAcentral